CUCGUAGGCGGCCAACUAAGUCAGACGUGAAAUCCCUCGGCUUAACCGGGGAACUGCGUCUGAUACUGGUUGGCUUGAAUCCGGGAGAGGGAUGUGGAAUUCCAGGUGUAGCGGUGAAAUGCGUAGAUAUCUGGAGGAACACCGGUGGCGAAGGCGGCAUCCUGGACCGGAAUUGACGCUGAGGAGCGAAAGCCAGGGGAGGCAAACG
Molecule: ribosomal RNA, 208 nt
Filed under: uncultured bacterium
Lineage: Bacteria
Description: partial 16S ribosomal RNA
Rfam family: Bacterial small subunit ribosomal RNA
Source: RNAcentral